CUUUUAACAAUUGAGUAUGUUCCUACAAACAAAAUUUGGAGCAUAUUUGUUUCUCUCUACUGAUUUCUCCAGAAUUUGGAAACUAUUUGACACAAUUGGAGAAACUGGUUAUUUUACCAAGGCUUUGACUGGAAUGAUGUGCUUUCCUUUAAGGAAUCAAGCUUGACUUAUGGAGACAAUAAAAGCCCCUUGGAAAAACUGGCCUCAUACCUUUGUCUACAUAGCUUCUGAUCUGUGGGCAUGAGACUUCACAACCUUCCAAAAAUGAGCUUUCCUAAUAACUCAGUAUGUCCUGUCUAGGAGUAAACCAUCACAGCCAUGAGAGAUCAGACGAAACCUGGGACCAGGGACUCAUUUUCUUCUAAAAUGCUUUCUCCAAAAGAUUUUAAUAAAGAAAAGGGGAAAAAUGUGAGAGGAAAGUAUCUUGGGCCCCCCAAAUCACUAAGCUAAAGGGAAAAUUCAAGCUGGGAACUGCUUAGCGCAAACCUGCUUCCCAUUCAAAGUCAUCCUUCUGCUUACUGAGAUAAAUGCAUAUCUGAUUGCCUCCUUUGAAAAGGCUAAUCAGAAACUCAAAAGAACGCAACUGUUUUUCUCUGACCUACUUGUGACCUGGAAGCCCCCUCCCCUCUUUGAGUUGCCCCACAUUUGCUUCAAGUUGUCUCACCUCUCUAGACCAAACCAAUGUUCAUUUUACAUAUGUUGAUUGACGUCUCAUGUCUUUCUAAAAUGUAUAAAACCCAGCUAUGUGUUCUGACCACCUUGAGCACAUGUUGUCCGGACCUCCUGGGACUCUGUUAUGGGUGUGUCCUCAAC
Pongo pygmaeus (Bornean orangutan) is the source of this 813-nucleotide long non-coding RNA. RefSeq lists it as uncharacterized. The record is from RefSeq and is a predicted model, not a curated record. Lineage: Eukaryota; Metazoa; Chordata; Mammalia; Primates; Hominidae. The transcript is spliced from 3 exons.